Molecule: unclassified non-coding RNA, 199 nt
Filed under: Moritella viscosa
Lineage: Bacteria; Pseudomonadati; Pseudomonadota; Gammaproteobacteria; Alteromonadales; Moritellaceae
Description: putative sRNA
Source: RNAcentral
GAUAUAGUUGCUGCUGAGCCAUAAUUAUUUAGGUAAGAUGUUUUUUGAUUUAUAUCAAUUAAUGGAUAAUGAGUAAUGGCAACAUAUAACGAUUUUAACUGGAAAUACGCAUUAGUAUUUUUAAUUGUAUUCUUAACAAUACCUACGAUGCACUUAUGGGCUGGCCUAUUUGGUAUCUUCGGUUGAUUGCUAAUAUUCA